Molecule: ribosomal RNA, 253 nt
Filed under: uncultured bacterium
Lineage: Bacteria
Description: partial 16S ribosomal RNA
Rfam family: Bacterial small subunit ribosomal RNA
Source: RNAcentral
GACAGAGGUGCCAAGCGUUAGGCGGAAUCACUGGCUUAAAGCGUGUGUAGGCGGGUGCCUAAGUACCUUGUGAAAUCCCCCGGCUCAACCGGGGAACUGCUGGGUAUACUGGGUGCCUUGGGUCAUCUAGGGGCUGCCGGAACAAAUGGUGGAGCGGUGAAAUGCGUAGAUAUCAUUUGGAACGCCAACGGCGAAAGCAGGCAGCUGGGGGAUGCACCGACGCUGAGACACGAAAGCCAGGGGAGCGAACGGG